Long non-coding RNA from Xenopus laevis (African clawed frog), 727 nucleotides. RefSeq lists it as uncharacterized. Lineage: Eukaryota; Metazoa; Chordata; Amphibia; Anura; Pipidae. The record is from RefSeq and is a predicted model, not a curated record. The transcript is spliced from 2 exons.
CGCGCUGCUGCUGCUGCUGCUGCUGCUGCUGCCUCCUGCUGUGUGAAUGUCCCAGCUCAUGGAGUACACUGUCUGUUGUACACAGUGAGAGCUGACAGAGUGUCGAGCUUCUUGGUUUCCAAAAGCCAGAAUGGAGCACAUACAUGUGGCUUCACUCAUUAUAUAUAUAAUGUACCACACUGUCUGCUGCCUGCCCCACUCCUGUUGCCUCCUAUCCCAUCAAAUUGUUCCUCAUGGCCCCUGGCACUCUAUGCACAUGCCGCUUGGAGGUAGGGGUAACAUGCUGCUUAGCUCAGGCUUUUACUGACUGCACAGCAAGGCCCUCUUUCCGGCUGAUCCUACCGGGGACUGUCCCCUUCACCCAAGACACAAGCCAAGUAACUCCCUAAAGCAGAAGCAACAGCCAGGAUGGAGGGUGAGCAACAAGCUAUGUGGGGCCUGGGUGAGGGAUUAUGGCAUGAUGUUCCCCUGGGCACAUGAGAGUCAGCUGGGGUGGAAUGUGCCACACUGAGUUCGGGGAGAGUUACUGGAGGUGAAAAGGCCAAGGAGAAAGGCCCUGACAGAAGCCUGCAGUUUUCUCUGCUAGACUUUCCCAUAACUUACUUACUCUUACUGACAAUUACAGGGUCUUUACCGAGUCCCAUAUUAACUGAGACUGUCCUGGGGCCCAUCUGAGGUGAAGUUAUGGGUAGGACAAGUGGCAAAUCUCCUAAUGAGGUACAAUGAG